Chrysemys picta bellii (western painted turtle) is the source of this 811-nucleotide long non-coding RNA. RefSeq lists it as uncharacterized. Lineage: Eukaryota; Metazoa; Chordata; Testudines; Emydidae. The record is from RefSeq and is a predicted model, not a curated record.
CGAAUACCGUAUUCCAAAGCAACUGCAGUGGGAACGCAGGGAGGCAGAAUAUCAUUCCUAGAGCUGGAAUUUGCCAGGACAGUUCUGCAACAACCCCAACCACUGCACAUUGAGUGGAUAUCGAUAUAGCGUUGCAAUCUUAGCUCUUGUGACAAUCCAGGAGGAGGAUCGGUGCUUUUCUUUUACAAGUCUACACUGAAACCUGGAAUUAUAUUUCAUCCAGGCUUUAGUUUGUUUCUUAAGCAGGGAAUAGAAGCGCAGACCUUGUCCGUGCAGUUUACCCAAGUCUACAGGGCUUUUUGUGUUAGAUCUUGGUGCAGUCUUUAUCUUCUGUCAGCAACUCCACCGUGUGAGAUAACCAGUUUGCAUCCCCUUCUGCACUGGAUGGACCGGCCAGUCCUCAAAGGAGCUUCCAUCUGGGGGAGAAGAGAAAGGGCGCACUCCCUGUCUCAGGCCCAGAUUGGUAGCAGCAGCUAAGCAAAACUUUAAACUAAAGCUGAACUCGAAGCACGUUAGUUUCCUCGUUGACAUCUAUGGGGCGUAAGGGUGAGCAUGCACCUAAGACCACAACUCAGCACGUGUUUCACUCUCAUGGUGUGCUUCAAUGGGACGUGCGUGAAGUGAAGUGUGUGAUUAGGGAUGCUUCCCUCAAUGGAACAGACGUGCCAGACCAUCAAAGCUAUUUAAGUGCCUGUCUCAUAUUAAAACCAAUGGGAGUUAGGCACUCAAAGACCUCUGAGGAGCUUGGCCUAAGUGCGCUUGACAGGUAACUCAGGAUAGGGUGGGGAGCAGGUUGAAAUUAAUAAAUCAA